CAUUCACACACACACACACAUGAAUACUCACCAGAGUAAGCCUGUGCCCAUUCCAUGCUCAUUUUGUGAAACGUGUCAGGUGCUGCUUGGCACUUACCAGUAAAUGAUGACUGCCAUCCCUCCUCGUUAAAAUGGAUUGGACGUCUAUUGGCAUGAACAGGACUGAAACAUGAUCAUUCAGCAGCCCUCCCAGUUAAACUUUUGUGGUCAGGAAUGUGGCUGCUCUCAGCAUGAAGUUGACUUCUGCGGUUUCGCCGCAUUCUUCACGCAGUCAGGAGUUCACAAAACAGUAGCAGGUCACCACUUACCUGAGUGCUACACAACCUGGACACUCAAAAAAGUGAGUAUCCAGACAAAUAUUUUUUUAACUUCAACAUCUUGCUUGCAUGAUUCUCCAAAUAAGAGGCGAAAGGUGCUUGCCUCAAAAUUAAACACUAUGAAAUCGAAAUGUUCACAUGAAAAUAUACAUUUUUGUUCAAUUAAAGUCCACAAGUCCAUAUGGUAACACAUGUUAAAGACAGGCCAAGUGAAAUGAGCAUAAGUGUUAUGAUAUUACAAGACUACAGUACAUGUGUGCAUCAACACAGACAUGUAUUCUCUUUGGUCUGUGGGAAGAACAUGUAUUAAAAUGGAAAAUGUGGUACAGUGAUCCCUCGCUACUUCGCGGUUCAAACUGUGCUUCCUCAGUCCAUCGCAGAUUUUUUUUUUUUUUUAAUUAAUAAAUAAAAAAAGUAAAAGGCAGUAUUUUAAAGAUCUGUCCAGAUUACGUAGUCUCUCACUCUUGCUCCUGUCGCUUUUCUUCGUCAGGCAGUGCACUGGAGUUGCUUAUUAAAGUUAACGAUGAUUGCCAGACGUCAAGGUUUGAUCUUACCAGAAACGCAUGGAAGCCGACACUUCUGCACGCUGCAUGCGUCAAUCAUUGUUUAACUUGCUAAACAGUUGCUGUGGCAACUUAUUGUGUGUAAGUGAGCCGCUUGAUUAGAUUUGAGUGGACCCCCUCAAUGAAGCAUUGGUAACA
Molecule: long non-coding RNA, 1018 nt
Organism: Corythoichthys intestinalis (scribbled pipefish)
Lineage: Eukaryota; Metazoa; Chordata; Actinopteri; Syngnathiformes; Syngnathidae
Exons: 3
Source: RefSeq, a predicted model, not a curated record